RNAcentral lists this ribosomal RNA (251 nucleotides) under uncultured bacterium. Its description in RNAcentral is "partial 16S ribosomal RNA". It matches the Rfam family "Bacterial small subunit ribosomal RNA", at positions 524 to 774 of the family's 1533-position model. The record is from RNAcentral.
UACGUAGGGAGCAAGCGUUAUCCGGAUUUACUGGGUGUAAAGGGCGCGUAGGCGGGAUGGCAAGUCAGAUGUGAAAUCCAGGGGCUCAACCCCUGAACUGCAUUUGAAACUGUCGUUCUUGAGUACUGGAGAGGUUGACGGAAUUCCUAGUGUAGCGGUGAAAUGCGUAGAUAUUAGGAGGAACACCAGUGGCGAAGGCGGUCAACUGGACAGCAACUGACGCUGAGGCGCGAAAGCGUGGGGAGCAAACA